UUCAAAUUAGUGCUAAUCGAGGUUAAUUUUGAAGCUUGAAAUCAGAUUUCUGGCGACCCUCUCCUUAUGUUUCCGAUCUUGACCACCCUCUCCUCCCUAAUUUGCGUUGCAGCCACCCACUCUCUUUUCUUCCGGCCAGCCGCCUCUUCCUUCACUCUUAACUCGUUUUUUCGUUUCUGUGUGAGGCUGCCUGUGUUUCUGUG
Molecule: long non-coding RNA, 203 nt
Filed under: Daucus carota (carrot)
Lineage: Eukaryota; Viridiplantae; Streptophyta; Magnoliopsida; Apiales; Apiaceae
Description: long non-coding RNA (DCAR_LNC005142)
Source: RNAcentral